Molecule: ribosomal RNA, 379 nt
Filed under: uncultured bacterium
Lineage: Bacteria
Description: bacterial SSU rRNA
Rfam family: Bacterial small subunit ribosomal RNA
Source: RNAcentral
UGAGUAAUGCUUAGGAAUCUGCCCAGUAGUGGGGGACAACACGGGGAAACUCGUGCUAAUACCGCAUACGCCUACGGGAGAAAGUGGGGGCUCUUCGGACCUCACGCUAUUGGAUGAGCCUAAGUCGGAUUAGCUUGUUGGUAGGGUAAAGGCCUACCAAGGCGACGAUCCGUAGCUGGUCUGAGAGGACGAUCAGCCACACUGGGACUGAGACACGGGCCCAGACUCCUACGGGAGGCAGCAGUGGGGAAUAUUGGACAAUGGGGGCAACCCUGAUCCAGCAAUGCCGCGUGUGUGAAGAAGGCCUGCGGGUUGUAAAGCACUUUCGGCGGGGAAGAUAAUGACGGUACCCGCAGAAGAAGCCCCGGCUAACUUCGUG